RNAcentral lists this ribosomal RNA (460 nucleotides) under uncultured bacterium. RNAcentral's name for it is "partial 16S ribosomal RNA". It matches the Rfam family "Bacterial small subunit ribosomal RNA", at positions 338 to 795 of the family's 1533-position model. The record is from RNAcentral.
CCUACGGGAGGCAGCAGUGAGGAAUAUUGGUCAAUGGGCGGAAGCCUGAACCAGCCAAGUAGCGUGCAGGAUGACGGCCCUACGGGUUGUAAACUGCUUUUAUACGGGAAUAACGCGCCUUCCGUGUAGGGCUUUGGAUGUACCGUAUGAAUAAGGUCCGGCUAAUUCCGUGCAAGCAGCCGCGGGAAUACGGGAGGUCCGGGCGUUAUCCGGAUUUAUUGGGUUUAAAGGGAGCGUAGGCCGCAUGUCAAGCGUGCUGUGAAAGGUCCGGGCUCAACCCGGGCCUUGCAGCGCGAAAUGGCGUGCUUGAGUCCGCGGAAAGCAGGCGGAAUGCGUCGUGUAGCGGUGAAAUGCUUAGAUAUGACGAAGAACCCCGAUUGCGAAGGCAGCUUGCUGCAGCGGAACUGACGCUGAUGCUCGAAAGCGCGGGUAUCGAACAGGAUUAGAUACCCUAGUAGUC